GUUUAAAUGAUAAUCCAGUUUGUUAUCGGAUUUUAUGUCUGACUGGAGAGGUGAAAUCACCCAAGUUAUUGUUUGAACCUCCAUUUAGUAUUUUUCAAUCCUGUUCCUUUGGAUGUAACAACUGUGAUGAGUAUCAACAUUUUACCCAAAAACUAUUUCAGAAGUUCAGCUGUAAAUUUCCAGAUUCCUACAGUGAGGCUUCUUGAUGGUGAUGAGAGUCAACCU
This 225-nucleotide long non-coding RNA is filed under the name Dasypus novemcinctus (nine-banded armadillo). Its description in RNAcentral is "lncRNA (ENSDNOG00000052095.1)". The record is from RNAcentral. Lineage: Eukaryota; Metazoa; Chordata; Mammalia; Cingulata; Dasypodidae.